RNAcentral lists this ribosomal RNA (536 nucleotides) under uncultured bacterium. RNAcentral describes it as "bacterial SSU rRNA". It matches the Rfam family "Bacterial small subunit ribosomal RNA", at positions 969 to 1509 of the family's 1533-position model. The record is from RNAcentral.
CCUUACCUACCCUUGACAUGUCUGGAAGGCCGAAGAGAUUUGGCUGUGCUCGCAAGAGAACCGGAACACAGGUGCUGCAUGGCUGUCGUCAGCUCGUGUCGUGAGAUGUUGGGUUAAGUUCCGCAACGAGCGCAACCCUUGUCAUUAGUUGCUACGAAAGGGCACUCUAAUGAGACUGCCGGUGACAAACCGGAGGAAGGUGGGGAUGACGUCAAGUCCUCAUGGCCCUUAUGGGUAGGGCUUCACACGUCAUACAAUGGUCGGGACAGAGGGUCGCCAACCCGCGAGGGGGAGCCAAUCCCAGAAACCCGAUCGUAGUCCGGAUCGCAGUCUGCAACUCGACUGCGUGAAGUCGGAAUCGCUAGUAAUCGCGGAUCAGCAUGUCGCGGUGAAUACGUUCCCGGGUCUUGUACACACCGCCCGUCACACCAUGGGAGUGGGUUUUACCAGAAGUAGUUAGCCUAACCGCAAGGAGGGCGAUUACCACGGUAGGAUUCAUGACUGGGGUGAAGUCGUAACAAGGUAGGCGUAGUGCU